This 694-nucleotide ribosomal RNA is filed under the name uncultured bacterium. RNAcentral's name for it is "bacterial SSU rRNA". It matches the Rfam family "Bacterial small subunit ribosomal RNA", at positions 32 to 715 of the family's 1533-position model. The record is from RNAcentral.
AACGCUAGCUACAGGCUUAACACAUGCAAGUCGCGGGGCAGCAUGUCGGUUGCUUGCAACCGAUGAUGGCGACCGGCGCACGGGUGAGUAACGCGUAUCCAACCUGCCCUUCACCACGGAAUAAUCCAGUGAAAAUUGGUCUAAUACCGUAUGAGGUCAUACGAUGGCAUCAGAAUAUGACGAAAGGUUUAGCGGUGAAGGAUGGGGAUGCGUCUGAUUAGCUUGUUGGUGAGGUAACGGCUCACCAAGGCGACGAUCAGUAGGGGUUCUGAGAGGAAGGUCCCCCACAUUGGAACUGAGACACGGUCCAAACUCCUACGGGAGGCAGCAGUGAGGAAUAUUGGUCAAUGGGCGAGAGCCUGAACCAGCCAAGUAGCGUGCAGGACGACGGCCCUAUGGGUUGUAAACUGCUUUUAUAUGGGGAUAAAGUGAGCUACGUGUAGUUUAUUGCAGGUACCAUAUGAAUAAGGACCGGCUAAUUCCGUGCCAGCAGCCGCGGUAAUACGGAAGGUCCAGGCGUUAUCCGGAUUUAUUGGGUUUAAAGGGAGCGUAGGCCGCCCCUUAAGCGUGUUGUGAAAUGCCGCGGCUCAACCGUGGCACUGCAGCGCGAACUGGGGGGCUUGAGUGCACGCAACGCAGGCGGAAUUCGUGGUGUAGCGGUGAAAUGCUUAGAUAUCACGAAGAACUCCGAUUG